Molecule: long non-coding RNA, 291 nt
Organism: Bactrocera oleae (olive fruit fly)
Lineage: Eukaryota; Metazoa; Arthropoda; Insecta; Diptera; Tephritidae
Source: RefSeq, a predicted model, not a curated record
CUGCUUUUCAUAAAAAGUCUUUUGGCUUUUUCUUCGUUGAAAACUCUACUUUCUGGUAAUAUAAAAAAUGUAUAUGUAUGUAUAAAUUACUGUGGUCAAUCCUUUUCUACUGAUUUAGCUAACUGAAGAUGAAACAAAGGAACAAUGUGAUUGAAAUGCUAUCUUCAAAUACGAACUACCUCUUAGUGUUUUCAAAACAAUCUGCCACAUCACCCAUUCCUACUGUCCAGUUAUAUCUAAUUAUGUAAAAUAUGAAAAAGGUGUGAAUAAUUAUUUGUUGCUUUACUUGAA